CUACUCUACCCAGCCGGCACCGCUCGGUUAGCUGACGCUGAGGUAGCCGGGGAGGUGCGUCCCGUCGGUCCCCCGCCCCAGAGCGGCCGCAGUCCCGGCUCCCGGAGUGGUGGUCCCUGCCCCGUCCAGAGAAUAACAUGGGGAGGCCGAGGAGCCUGCGCUGCGGCGGACGACCAGCCCCGCCGGCGGUCGCUGAGGCUGGGGUUCCAAUGCCAGUCUUCCAGUGCCAGUGCUGCUUCCCAGCCCACACAUCCCUCUCACCACUGCUGCAUCCUAAGGAAGUCAGCAACCUUCAGGGGGUACUUGUUCCUGGAGCCAGAGUAGAGGAGGGUGGCGCUUCCAAGGCUGUGGGCAUCCAAAGAAAGAGUGCUGUCCAUCCUCCUCCUGCCUACUGAUCUCCCAUCAGCAGAACCCCACUGGAGACCUACUGGCAGCUUUUUUUAGGGCCGCUCUCGAAUCAGAGCUACAGCUGCCAGCUUAUAUCACAGCUACAGCAACAUAGGAUCCAAGCUAUGUCUGCGACCUACAAUGCGGCUCACGGCAACGCGGGAUCUCUAACCCACUGAGCAAAGCCAGGGAUCAAAACUACAUCCUCAUGGGUACUAGUCAGAUUCAUUUCCACUACACCACAACAGGAACUCCCUACAUUUGUUUUGUGGUAACAAUUACCUGGUAAAUUUCCAUCUUCCAAUAGAGUUGUGCUACUCUCUUUCACAGUUUUCUUACUGUAUUUUUGAGUAGGUAUUGUGCAUAUAACUUUCAUGGUCCUCAAAAUUAAAUCCUCUGUUAUUAUUAGGAGGUGAAGAGAAGGACCCGGAGAGCUUUAUAGAAUUAGUUCUCAUGGGCUCUUUCCUCCGUUGCUAUAGCAAAAAAAAAAAAAAAAAAAAAAAAAAAAAAAAAAAAAAAAAAGUAUUUCCUUAAAAUACAGCAACUCUGUGAAGUCAUGCUUCCUGUGCCUCCAGGUACCUAACCAGGCUCUGAAAAGCUUCUACGUAUAGUUCUCAACUUCCUGAUUUAUUCACACACUGCAGAGACCCAGGCUUUGCCUUACAAAAUAAUAUGAUCACUUUUAGAAAGUUAUUACUGGUGGUUUCUAAGAUCUACUAUCUCUGAUUAGGCACUUCGUAUCUUUCUCUCUCUUUAGUGUUUAGACCCUAAUCAAUCUCAGUUCUUUCCCAGAAUGUCCUCUUGAAUUCCUACAUAGAUUUGCUGCACAGUGCUUAUGGUCUCAGUUGCUGACUACAGCAUUGACUGUAAUUUUGGAGUGUUGGGGUUUUGUUAGUCAGCUGUUUGCUGAAAAUUCAUUUUCUGUGACCUUAUUUUUUUUCUUCUUGUUGUUCUGGAUAGAUUUCAGGAGAAGGAAUGAAAAGUUUCAGAACUUAACAGACUCCCAUGUUCUCAUAGAAUGAUGAUAUAAUUUAUUUUUCUCCCAUGUUCUCAAAAGAAAUGAAAAAAUUCUCUGGAAGUACUAUGAUUAUUGGCUUUAGAUAAUGAACGAGAAUGUUCUAGUUAUCACCAGCCUAAUUCAAGCCAAUUAUAUAGAUUUUUCAUACCUACUAUAACAUUAAGGCUAUGUCUAGAAGAUAAUGUCACAAAGUAAUUUAAUGGAAAAUCAUUUAAGGCCUACAGUUCAGAUAAAUUAAGUUUUAAGCAAAAGAGGUUCUGAAAGAAGUAGA
RNAcentral lists this long non-coding RNA (1676 nucleotides) under Sus scrofa (pig). RNAcentral describes it as "lncRNA (ENSSSCG00060042456.1)". The record is from RNAcentral. Lineage: Eukaryota; Metazoa; Chordata; Mammalia; Artiodactyla; Suidae.